RNAcentral lists this ribosomal RNA (799 nucleotides) under uncultured organism. RNAcentral describes it as "bacterial SSU rRNA". It matches the Rfam family "Bacterial small subunit ribosomal RNA", at positions 46 to 818 of the family's 1533-position model. The record is from RNAcentral.
GCAUAACACAUGCAAGUCGAACGAGAAAUUUCCGCUUCGGCGGGAAGAGUAAAGUGGCGCACGGGUGAGUAACGCGUGGGUAACCUGCCCCCGAAUUCGGGAUAACUUCGCGAAAGCGGCGCUAAUACCGGAUAUCGUCCCAGGGGCUUUGGUCUCUGGGAUGAAAGAUGACCUCUCCAUGGAAGUUGUCGUUCGGGGAGGGGCUCGCGUACCAUUAGCUUGUUGGUGGGGUAAUGGCCUACCAAGGCGACGAUGGUUAGCUGGUCUGAGAGGAUGAUCAGCCACACUGGCACUGAAACACGGGCCAGACUCCUACGGGAGGCAGCAGUGAGGAAUUUUGCGCAAUGGGGGAAACCCUGACGCAGCAACGCCGCGUGAGUGAAGAAGGCCUUCGGGUCGUAAAGCUCUGUCAAGUGGGAAAAACGUCAGACGAUGAACAGUCGUCAGGCUUGAUGGUACCACUGGAGGAAGCACCGGCUAACUCCGUGCCAGCAGCCGCGGUAAUACGGAGGGUGCAAGCGUUGUUCGGAAUUACUGGGCGUAAAGAGCGUGUAGGCGGCAAGGUAAGUCAGGCGUGAAAGCCCUGGGCUUAACCCAGGAAGUGCGUUUGAAACUGCCUCGCUAGAGUAUGGGAGAGGAGAGUGGAAUUCCCGGUGUAGAGGUGAAAUUCGUAGAUAUCGGGAGGAACACCCGUGGCGAAGGCGACUCUCUGGACCAAUACUGACGCUGAGACGCGAAAGCGUGGGGAGCAAACAGGAUUAGAUACCCUGGUAGUCCACGCCGUAAACGAUGAGCACUA